RNAcentral lists this ribosomal RNA (406 nucleotides) under uncultured bacterium. Its description in RNAcentral is "bacterial SSU rRNA". It matches the Rfam family "Bacterial small subunit ribosomal RNA", at positions 355 to 776 of the family's 1533-position model. The record is from RNAcentral.
UGGGGAAUAUUGCGCAAUGGGCGGAAGCCUGACGCAGCGACGCCGCGUGGGGGAUGACGGCCUUCGGGUUGUAAACCUCUUUCGGCAGGGACGAAAUUGACGUGUACCUGCAGAAGAAGCGCCGGCUAACUACGUGCCAGCAGCCGCGGUAAUACGUAGGGCGCAAGCGUUGUCCGGAAUUAUUGGGCGUAAAGAGCUCGUAGGUGGCUUGUCGCGUCUGCCGUGAAAUCCUAUCGGCUUAACCGUGGGUCUGCGGUGGAUACGGGCUGGCUUGAGGUAGGUAGGGGCAAGCGGAAUUCCUGGUGUAGCGGUGAAAUGCGCAGAUAUCAGGAGGAACACCGGUGGCGAAGGCGGCUUGCUGGGCCUUACCUGACGCUGAGGAGCGAAAGCGUGGGGAGCGAACAGG